Molecule: long non-coding RNA, 1196 nt
Organism: Ornithodoros turicata
Lineage: Eukaryota; Metazoa; Arthropoda; Arachnida; Ixodida; Argasidae
Exons: 5
Source: RefSeq, a predicted model, not a curated record
GUCGACUGUGUUUCACGUGGUUUAGCGUUUACUUUCGUAUAGCGCUUAGCCGCCUGUGAUUUCAGUGUGAAAUGACAAUGCGAAGAAAUGGUUGCAAGGCGAUUCCAACAUCACCAAGAGGGAACACAGGACCACAGUAUCGUCUGUUUUACCGGGAAAUCGUAAAAAAAGAGCGAAUACUGCUCAACAAGUCAUCAGACCUGACUCACUGCAUCAACACAAACAAGCCAGAACACGAAGAUGUCGCUCAGUGGGUUCUCAAGUAGCUGAAAGCAACAUCGCCAGUCACUGCACAUAACUUUGUGCCCGGCUCACCUGUGCUAGGACACCUACAUUGACACGAGCUUCACCUUCACAGCCUUUGAGAGGUACUCCGAGUUCGUGCCUACAGAUGGUCAUCGAGUCUCUGGUCUUCACUUCAAGAAUGGUGAGAAGACAUAUAUGGACCAUACCCCAACAGUGUUUCCACUAAAGCCCAGUGUUGACAGAGUUUCUCGGUACGGUUCCAGAAAAAAAAAGAGUCACAGCAAUUGGAGCCCGAGUUGGUUGAGGAUGAGGCCAUGAACGAGGCUGAAGAAAGGGCUUCGUAACCUGUUCCAUUCACAGAUGACGUGACAUCCUACCCAGAGCAGGGCAGGGAUCACAAUUACGGACUUCCACCAGAGACAAAUGAUGACCCCCGAACAAUGCUCCUUCGGCAGAGGAACAUCAUAGAACAGCUCAUAGGAAGAGAAGAGUAACUUCAGCCUUGGGCCUUCAGUACAUGACUUGCGUUUGGGAAAAGCCUUCAUGUGUUGUGACAUACACUAGAGCAUAGAGGCAACAGUAAACAUGUUUGCAGACUCCGAGACCACCCGCACUACACUUACAGGCCCCCCAGCGGAUAUUUCCAGUUGCUUUGUCAAUCACUGCCCUCACUCCAUAGGUAAGAGAGAUCUGCAUGCUUGCAAGUAUAUCGGCCCGGACCAGUGUAUCUGGGCUGCAAUGAUCUUCGAAAAACUCCAGCUCCUGAACGUGAUCAGACGUGACGAGCCGCAAGCCAUCAUCCUUGUGCUUUCCGGCUCCAUGCUUUUCAGUUUACCUACAAGAAAGCACGUCACUGAAAUGUUAAAAAUGAUACUUUCCAAUGUUUGAUAGUAUGAUACGUAUCAAGGGUCCAUAAUCCUGUAUUACAAUAAAACAGUUCUCGUACUGCG